RNAcentral lists this ribosomal RNA (1369 nucleotides) under metagenome. Its description in RNAcentral is "bacterial SSU rRNA". It matches the Rfam family "Bacterial small subunit ribosomal RNA", at positions 8 to 1367 of the family's 1533-position model. The record is from RNAcentral.
AGAGUUUGAUCAUGGCUCAGAUUGAACGCUGGCGGCAGGCUUAACACAUGCAAGUCGAGCGGUAACAGGAGAAAGCUUGCUUUCUUGCUGACGAGCGGCGGACGGGUGAGUAAUGCCUGGGAAAUUGCCCUGAUGUGGGGGAUAACCAUUGGAAACGAUGGCUAAUACCGCAUAGUAGCUUCGGCUUAAAGAGGGGGACCUUCGGGCCUCUCGCGUCAGGAUAUGCCCAGGUGGGAUUAGCUAGUUGGUGGGGUAAAGGCUCACCAAGGCGACGAUCUCUAGCUGGUCUGAGAGGAUGAUCAGCCACACUGGAACUGAGACACGGUCCAGACUCCUACGGGAGGCAGCAGUGGGGAAUAUUGCACAAUGGGCGCAAGCCUGAUGCAGCCAUGCCGCGUGUAUGAAGAAGGCCUUCGGGUUGUAAAGUACUUUCAGUGGUGAGGAAGGUUAUGUAUUGAAUAGAUGCGUGAUUUGACGUUAGCCACAGAAGAAGCACCGGCUAACUCCGUGCCAGCAGCUGCGGUAAUACGGAGGGUGCGAGCGUUAAUCGGAAUUACUGGGCGUAAAGCGCAUGCAGGUGGUCUGUUAAGUCAGAUGUGAAAGCCCGGGGCUUAACCUCGGAAUAGCAUUUGAAACUGUCAGACUAGAGUACUGUAGAGGGGGGUAGAAUUUCAGGUGUAGCGGUGAAAUGCGUAGAGAUCUGAAGGAAUACCGGUGGCGAAGGCGGCCCCCUGGACAGAUACUGACACUCAGAUGCGAAAGCGUGGGGAGCAAACAGGAUUAGAUACCCUGUAGUCCACGCCGUAAACUAUGUCUACUUGGAGGUUGUGGCCUUGAGCCGUGGCUUUCGGAGCUAACGCGUUAAGUAGACCGCCUGGGGAGUACGGUCGCAAGAUUAAAACUCAAAUGAAUUGACGGGGGCCCGCACAAGCGGUGGAGCAUGUGGUUUAAUUCGAUGCAACGCGAAGAACCUUACCUACUCUUGACAUCUACAGAAGCUUGCGGAGACGCGAGUGUGCCUUCGGGAACUGUAAGACAGGUGCUGCAUGGCUGUCGUCAGCUCGUGUUGUGAAAUGUUGGGUUAAGUCCCGCAACGAGCGCAACCCUUAUCCUUGUUUGCCAGCACAUAAUGGUGGGAACUCCAGGGAGACUGCCGGUGAUAAACCGGAGGAAGGUGGGGACGACGUCAAGUCAUCAUGACCCUUACGAGUAGGGCUACACACGUGCUACAAUGGCGCAUACAGAGGGCGGCCAACUUGCAAAAGUGAGCGAAUCCCAAAAAGUGCGUCGUAGUCCGGAUUGGAGUCUGCAACUCGACUCCAAGAAGUCGGAAUCGCUAGUAAUCGUGGAUCAGAAUGCCACGGUGAAU